AGUGAACGCUGGCGGUAGGCCUAACACAUGCAAGUCGAACGGCAGCACAUUAAUAGCUUGCUCUUACGGGUGGCGAGUGGCGUACGGGUGAGGAAUACAUCGGAAUCUACUUUUUCGUGGGUGAUCACGUAGGGAAACUUACGCUAAUACCGCAUACGACCUACGGGUGAAAGCAGGGGAUCUUCGGACCUUGCGCGAUUGAAUGAGCCGAUGUCGGAUUAGCUAGUUGGCGGGGUAAAGGCCCACCAAGGCGACGAUCCGUAGCUGGUCUGAGAGGAUGAUCAGCCACACUGGAACUGAGACACGGUCCAGAAUCCUACGGGAGGAAGCAGUGGGGAAGAUUGGACAAUGGGCGAAAGAAUGAUCCAGCCAUACCGCGUGGGUGAAGAAGGAAUUCGGGUUGUAAAGCCCUUUUGUUGGGAAAGAAAAGCAGAAGGUUAAUACCCCGCUGUUCUGACGGUACCCAAGGAAUAAGCACCGGCUAACUUCGUG
Molecule: ribosomal RNA, 492 nt
Filed under: uncultured bacterium
Lineage: Bacteria
Description: partial 16S ribosomal RNA
Rfam family: Bacterial small subunit ribosomal RNA
Source: RNAcentral